UGACCUCGGAUCAGGUAGGAAUACCCGCUGAACUUAAGCAUAUCAAUAAGGGAGGAGGAA
Molecule: ribosomal RNA, 60 nt
Filed under: Colletotrichum gloeosporioides
Lineage: Eukaryota; Fungi; Ascomycota; Sordariomycetes; Glomerellales; Glomerellaceae
Description: partial 28S ribosomal RNA
Source: RNAcentral